Molecule: ribosomal RNA, 1161 nt
Filed under: Gasteracantha cancriformis
Lineage: Eukaryota; Metazoa; Arthropoda; Arachnida; Araneae; Araneidae
Description: SSU rRNA
Rfam family: Eukaryotic small subunit ribosomal RNA
Source: RNAcentral
AAAAGCUCGUAGUUGGAUCUCAGCUCCGGCCGGGCGGUCCACCUUUCGGUGGUUACUGCUCGACGCCGAGCGUUUCGGCGGUUAUUCUUGAUGAUCUUCAUCGGUUGUCUCGGGUGACCGCCAAGUUUACUUUGAAAAAAUUAGAGUGCUCAAAGCAGACGUGACGUCUGAAUAAUUGUGCAUGGAAUAAUGGAAUAGGACCUCGGUUCUAUUUUGUUGGUUUUCGGAACACGAGGUAAUGAUUAAGAGGGACAGACGGGGGCAUUCGUAUUGCGACGCUAGAGGUGAAAUUCUUGGACCGUCGCAAGACGAACUACUGCGAAAGCAUUUGCCAAGAAUGUUUCCAUUAAUCAAGAACGAAAGUUAGAGGUUCGAAGGCGAUCAGAUACCGCCCUAGUUCUAACCAUAAACGAUGCCAGCCAGCAAUCCGCCUGUGUUCCUCAAAUGACACGGCGGGCGGCUUCCGGGAAACCAAAGCUUUUGGGUUCCGGGGGAAGUAUGGUUGCAAAGCUGAAACUUAAAGGAAUUGACGGAAGGCCACUACCAGAAAUGGAGCCUGCGGCUUAAUUUGACUCAACACGGGGAAACUUACCCGGCCCGGACACAGGAAGGAUUGACAGAUUAAGAGCUCUUUCUUGAUUCUGUGGGUAGUGGUGCAUGGUCGUUCGUAGUUGGUGGGGCGACUUGUCUGGUUAAUUCCGAUAACGAACGAGACUCUAACCUACUAAAUAGACGUUCCGAUCCUCUUGAGUCGGACGUUCUUCUUAGAGGGACAGGCGGCGUCUAGCCGCACGAGACAGAGCAAUAACAGGUCUUGGAUGCCCUUAGAUGUCCGGGGCCGCACGCGCGCUACAUUGAAGGAAUCAGCGUGUGCUUUCCCUGUCCGAAAGGACUGGGUAACCCGUUGAACCUCCUUCGUGCUGGGGAUUGGCGCCUGUAAUUUCUCGCCAUGAACGAGGAAUUCCCAGUAAGCACGAGUCAUCAGCUCGUGUUGAUUACGUCCCUGGCCUUUGUGCACACCGCCCGUCGCUACUACCGAUUGAAUGAUUUAGUGAGGUCUUCGGACUGGCGCUCGGAUUGGCCUUCGCGGUCGAGCCGGUGUGCCGGAAAGAUGACCAAACUUGAUCAUUUAGAGGAAGUAAAAGUCGUAACAAGGUUUUC